GACGUAGGGCGCGAGCGUUGUCCGGAUUUAUUGGGCGUAAAGAGCUCGUAGGCGGCUUGUCGCGUCGUCCGUGAAAACCUGCAGCUCAACUGCAGGCUUGCGGUCGAUACGGGCAGGCUAGAGUUCGGUAGGGGAGACUGGAAUUCCUGGUGUAGCGGUGAAAUGCGCAGAUAUCAGGAGGAACACCGGUGGCGAAGGCGGGUCUCUGGACAGUUCCUGACGCUGAGGCACGAAGGCCAGGGGAGCAAACGGG
This 253-nucleotide ribosomal RNA is filed under the name uncultured bacterium. RNAcentral's name for it is "partial 16S ribosomal RNA". It matches the Rfam family "Bacterial small subunit ribosomal RNA", at positions 524 to 776 of the family's 1533-position model. The record is from RNAcentral.